This 1145-nucleotide long non-coding RNA is filed under the name Homo sapiens (human). RNAcentral describes it as "novel transcript". Lineage: Eukaryota; Metazoa; Chordata; Mammalia; Primates; Hominidae. The record is from RNAcentral.
GGUGGUUGCCUGUGACGUCACCGGACGCGCCCGCUUCUCGCUGGAGUGCGCACCGAGCGGCAGUGACUUCGCCGCUGCUGUAGUUCCCCGGCUGGAUGCGGUGACUGGUGCCAGUGCUCAGGCGCCCGCUGCCCUUGACCUCCCGCCCCGCGAGCCCUAACUCAGCGCAGGAGGACCGGCUGCCGCCGCCGCCGCCGCCAGGAGGUAGAUUGGGAAGUGGAGCUGGCCGUGGUCAUUGGAAAGAAAGGCAAGCACAUCAAGGUGAAGUGGAAAAGGUGGGCUCCCAGGCCAGAGUGCAGCAGAGUCCCCAGCUCCUGCCUCUCCUAGUUCUGACCUCGCUCACCAACACAUGGUGCCAGCUGUCCCUGACACUAGGAAGCAGUCAGCCUCCUUGCUCCCUGACACUGCCUUUCCCUUCACCCACCUUUGGCUGGCUCUGGCUACUAACAUGGGAUAACAGCUUUGAGAUCCCUUGCCACAGGUGUUGGUGUCACCCAUGAUCUAUCCUCCUGUAUGGCCAAAUCCCCUGCCCCCAUAGGCCACAGAUGCCAUGGCCCACGUGGCCGGCUUCACUGUGGCUCAUGACGUGAGUGCUCGUGACUGGCUAACAAGAUGCAAUGGGAAACAGUGGCUGCUGGGAAAAACCUUCGACACCUUCUGCCCUCUGGGCCCUGCCUUGGUGACCAAGGACAGUGUAGCAGAUCCACACAACUUAAAGAUCUGCUGUCGAGUGAAUGGGGAAGUGGUCCAGAGCAGCAACACCAACCAGAUGGUAUUCAAGACAGAGGACCUGAUAGCCUGGGUGUCCCAGUUUGUUACCUUUUACCCAGGGGAUGUCAUCCUGACUGGGACCCCCCCACCUCCACCCAGGUGUCGGUGUAUUCAGGAAACCUCCUGUCUUUCUCAAGAAGGGGGAUGAAGUCCAGUGUGAGAUUGAAGAACUAGGUGUCAUCAUCAACAAGGUGGUGUGAUGGCUCCUGCACAGGCCCUGCACAUAGGAUGAGGGCAUCUGCUCCCACUCAGCCUAGCCCAGGGAAAGGCCCAGUGACAGGUGUGGACAGGUGCCAGCCCUGCAAGCCGCCUCUUCUCGGUAGAAGGGAGAAGGACAGAGCUCUCUUCAAUAAAUUCGUCGGGUCAAAGCAGCA